UACGUAGGGGGCCAGCGUUGUCCGGAUUCAUUGGGCGUAAAGCGCGCGCAGGCGGCCGCUCGAGUCGCACGUGAAAUCUCCCGGCUCAACCGGGAGGGGACGAGCGAGACUGGGUGGCUGGAGGUCGGUAGGGGGAAGCGGAAUUCCCGGUGUAGUGGUGGAAUGCGUAGAGAUCGGGAGGAACACCAGUGGCGAAGGCGGCUUCCUGGACCGAACCUGACGCUGAGGCGCGAAAGCGUGGGGAGCGAUCCGG
This 253-nucleotide ribosomal RNA is filed under the name uncultured bacterium. Its description in RNAcentral is "partial 16S ribosomal RNA". It matches the Rfam family "Bacterial small subunit ribosomal RNA", at positions 524 to 776 of the family's 1533-position model. The record is from RNAcentral.